Molecule: ribosomal RNA, 2899 nt
Filed under: Klebsiella pneumoniae
Lineage: Bacteria; Pseudomonadati; Pseudomonadota; Gammaproteobacteria; Enterobacterales; Enterobacteriaceae
Description: 23S ribosomal RNA
Rfam family: Bacterial large subunit ribosomal RNA
Source: RNAcentral
UUAAGCGACUAAGCGUACACGGUGGAUGCCCUGGCAGUCAGAGGCGAUGAAGGACGUGCUAAUCUGCGAAAAGCGUCGGUAAGGUGAUAUGAACCGUUAUAACCGGCGAUGUCCGAAUGGGGAAACCCAGUGUGAUUCGUCACACUAUCGUUAACUGAAUACAUAGGUUAACGAGGCGAACCGGGGGAACUGAAACAUCUAAGUACCCCGAGGAAAAGAAAUCAACCGAGAUUCCCCCAGUAGCGGCGAGCGAACGGGGAGCAGCCCAGAGUCUGAAUCAGCUUGUGUGUUAGUGGAACGGUCUGGAAAGUCCGACGGUACAGGGUGAUAGUCCCGUACACCAAAAUGCACAGGCUGUGAACUCGAAGAGUAGGGCGGGACACGUGGUAUCCUGUCUGAAUAUGGGGGGACCAUCCUCCAAGGCUAAAUACUCCUGACUGACCGAUAGUGAACCAGUACCGUGAGGGAAAGGCGAAAAGAACCCCGGCGAGGGGAGUGAAAAAGAACCUGAAACCGUGUACGUACAAGCAGUGGGAGCACCUUCGGGUGUGACUGCGUACCUUUUGUAUAAUGGGUCAGCGACUUAUAUUCUGUAGCAAGGUUAACCGUAUAGGGGAGCCGCAGGGAAACCGAGUCUUAACUGGGCGUUAAGUUGCAGGGUAUAGACCCGAAACCCGGUGAUCUAGCCAUGGGCAGGUUGAAGGUUGGGUAACACUAACUGGAGGACCGAACCGACUAAUGUUGAAAAAUUAGCGGAUGACUUGUGGCUGGGGGUGAAAGGCCAAUCAAACCGGGAGAUAGCUGGUUCUCCCCGAAAGCUAUUUAGGUAGCGCCUCGUGAAUUCAUCUUCGGGGGUAGAGCACUGUUUCGGCUAGGGGGUCAUCCCGACUUACCAACCCGAUGCAAACUACGAAUACCGAAGAAUGUUAUCACGGGAGACACACGGCGGGUGCUAACGUCCGUCGUGAAGAGGGAAACAACCCAGACCGCCAGCUAAGGUCCCAAAGUCAUGGUUAAGUGGGAAACGAUGUGGGAAGGCACAGACAGCCAGGAUGUUGGCUUAGAAGCAGCCAUCAUUUAAAGAAAGCGUAAUAGCUCACUGGUCGAGUCGGCCUGCGCGGAAGAUGUAACGGGGCUAAACCAUGCACCGAAGCUGCGGCAGCGACACUAUGUGUUGUUGGGUAGGGGAGCGUUCUGUAAGCCUGCGAAGGUGUGCUGUGAGGCAUGCUGGAGGUAUCAGAAGUGCGAAUGCUGACAUAAGUAACGAUAAAGCGGGUGAAAAGCCCGCUCGCCGGAAGACCAAGGGUUCCUGUCCAACGUUAAUCGGGGCAGGGUGAGUCGACCCCUAAGGCGAGGCCGAAAGGCGUAGUCGAUGGGAAACAGGUUAAUAUUCCUGUACUUGGUGUUACUGCGAAGGGGGGACGGAGAAGGCUAUGUUAGCCGGGCGACGGUUGUCCCGGUUUAAGCAUGUAGGCUGGUUGUCCAGGCAAAUCCGGAUAAUCAAGGCUGAGGUGUGAUGACGAGGUACUACGGUGCUGAAGUAACAAAUGCCCUGCUUCCAGGAAAAGCCUCUAAGCAUCAGGUAACAUCAAAUCGUACCCCAAACCGACACAGGUGGUCAGGUAGAGAAUACCAAGGCGCUUGAGAGAACUCGGGUGAAGGAACUAGGCAAAAUGGUGCCGUAACUUCGGGAGAAGGCACGCUGGUGUGUAGGUGAAGUCCCUGCGGAUGGAGCUGAGACCAGUCGAAGAUACCAGCUGGCUGCAACUGUUUAUUAAAAACACAGCACUGUGCAAACACGAAAGUGGACGUAUACGGUGUGACGCCUGCCCGGUGCCGGAAGGUUAAUUGAUGGGGUUAUCCGUAAGGAGAAGCUCUUGAUCGAAGCCCCGGUAAACGGCGGCCGUAACUAUAACGGUCCUAAGGUAGCGAAAUUCCUUGUCGGGUAAGUUCCGACCUGCACGAAUGGCGUAAUGAUGGCCAGGCUGUCUCCACCCGAGACUCAGUGAAAUUGAACUCGCUGUGAAGAUGCAGUGUACCCGCGGCAAGACGGAAAGACCCCGUGAACCUUUACUAUAGCUUGACACUGAACAUUGAGCCUUGAUGUGUAGGAUAGGUGGGAGGCUUUGAAGCGUGGACGCCAGUCUGCGUGGAGCCAACCUUGAAAUACCACCCUUUAAUGUUUGAUGUUCUAACGUUGGCCCCUUACCGGGGUUGCGGACAGUGUCUGGUGGGUAGUUUGACUGGGGCGGUCUCCUCCCAAAGCGUAACGGAGGAGCACGAAGGUUAGCUAAUCCUGGUCGGACAUCAGGAGGUUAGUGCAAUGGCAUAAGCUAGCUUGACUGCGAGCGUGACGGCGCGAGCAGGUGCGAAAGCAGGUCAUAGUGAUCCGGUGGUUCUGAAUGGAAGGGCCAUCGCUCAACGGAUAAAAGGUACUCCGGGGAUAACAGGCUGAUACCGCCCAAGAGUUCAUAUCGACGGCGGUGUUUGGCACCUCGAUGUCGGCUCAUCACAUCCUGGGGCUGAAGUAGGUCCCAAGGGUAUGGCUGUUCGCCAUUUAAAGUGGUACGCGAGCUGGGUUUAGAACGUCGUGAGACAGUUCGGUCCCUAUCUGCCGUGGGCGCUGGAGAAUUGAGGGGGGCUGCUCCUAGUACGAGAGGACCGGAGUGGACGCAUCACUGGUGUUCGGGUUGUCAUGCCAAUGGCACUGCCCGGUAGCUAAAUGCGGAAGAGAUAAGUGCUGAAAGCAUCUAAGCACGAAACUUGCCCCGAGAUGAGUUCUCCCUGAGACUUUAAGUCUCCUGAAGGAACGUUAAAGACGAUGACGUUGAUAGGCCGGGUGUGUAAGCGCAGCGAUGCGUUGAGCUAACCGGUACUAAUGAACCGUGAGGCUUAACCU